RNAcentral lists this long non-coding RNA (805 nucleotides) under Mus musculus (house mouse). RNAcentral describes it as "predicted gene 20544". Lineage: Eukaryota; Metazoa; Chordata; Mammalia; Rodentia; Muridae. The record is from RNAcentral.
GUUUCGCAAACAACAGAUCGGGUUUCUAAAAGCUAUUUCAACCCCCCUCCCAGUUACUGCCACCCUCUCCCAGGUCUAGAGAGGGGUACCCACGGUGGAGGGAGGUGGGAGGCCGAGACGGCCCCGGGGGUCGGCGGAGACCCAGCGGGAGCAGGGGGAAAUCGGAAGAGCUGGGGGCAUGGAGCGGGCGAGUUUGGAGCGGAAUGAGCCGGGAGCCCUACGUUGUGGAAGGAAGACAACAGUAUAGGACCAUCAGCAGGACCGGACAGAGAGGGGCACCCCUGGCUGUCCUGGAACUUGUAGACCAGGCUGGCCUUGAACUCAGAAAUCCGCCUGCCUCUGACUCCCGAGUGCUGAGAUUAAAGGUGUGCACCACCACACCCGACAAGGAAGCCUGUUUUAAGAAGUGAUUCCAUGGAGGAGUUCUGCGGCGGCUCAGGGCUUGACUAAACAGUGGACCUCAGACAAGAGAGGCUAAACCAGGCUGCAGGUGACAGGAAGAAUUGAAUAAACUGAAAGCAAAGGGCAGCCUUCUAAUUACGCUUCGUGGCUAUGUGGACAACCUGGAGAAGUCUGGAAACAAGCCAGAAGCCCGAAGCCAGCAGUAGAGCUCUGACUGGCUUGUAUGCCUAGAAAGGAAGGGCUCUUCUUUCGCCUCACGGGCACAAAUGGGACCCACGAGCGCCGAUUUCAGACUAUUCUGAUCCCUUCAAAAAGAAAGUUAGGAGUCCAGGCUACUGUGAGUGAAUUUGAUUCUAAUUGUUUCAGAGAAUAUGGAAUAAAAUAUCUCAUUUGCAGUUGUUUA